CAACCCUGGUGGCGAGUGGCGAACGGGUGAGUAACAUAUCGGAACGUGCCCUGGAGUGGGGGAUAACUAGUCGAAAGAUUAGCUAAUACCGCAUACGAUCUACGGAUGAAAGUGGGGGAUCGCAAGACCUCAUGCUCGUGGAGCGGCCGAUAUCUGAUUAGCUAGUUGGUGGGGUAAAGGCCUACCAAGGCAUCGAUCAGUAGCUGGUCUGAGAGGACGACCAGCCACACUGGGACUGAGACACGGCCCAGACUCCUACGGGAGGCAGCAGUGGGGAAUUUUGGACAAUGGGCGCAAGCCUGAUCCAGCAAUGCCGCGUGAGUGAAGAAGGCCUUCGGGUUGUAAAGCUCUUUUGUCAGGGAAGAAACGGUGAGGGCUAAUAUCCCUUGCUAAUGACGGUACCUGAAGAAUAAGCACCGGCUAACUACGUGCCAGCAGCCGCGGUAAUACGUAGGGUGCAAGCGUUAAUCGGAAUUACUGGGCGUAAAGCGUGCGCAGGCGGUUGUGCAAGACCGAUGUGAAAUCCCCGGGCUUAACCUGGGAAUGGCAUUGGUGACUGCACGGCUAGAGUGUGUC
This 576-nucleotide ribosomal RNA is filed under the name uncultured bacterium. Its description in RNAcentral is "bacterial SSU rRNA". It matches the Rfam family "Bacterial small subunit ribosomal RNA", at positions 80 to 652 of the family's 1533-position model. The record is from RNAcentral.